AGAGCGUAGGGUGAAUGCCUUGGCAUCAAGAGCCGAAGAAGGACGUGGUAAGCUGCGAAAAGCCAUGGGGAACUGCAAACAAGUAUUGAUCCAUGGAUAUCCGAAUGGGGAAACCCGGCAGAAGAAGCUCUGUCAUCAUACAGCCAAUACAUAACUGUAUGAAGGGAACCCGGUGAACUGAAACAUCUUAGUAACCGGAGGAAAAGAAAGUAAUUACGAUUCUCUAAGUAGCGGCGAGCGAACGGGGAAGAGCCCAAACCAGAUGUCUACGGAGAUCUGGGGUUGAGGACAGACAUCGCGUGCAGCGAAAGUGAGUGGAAGAUGGUUGGAAAGCCACACCAAAGAGGGUAAUAGUCCCGUAUACGAAGCGAGUAGGCUGUGCAGUCUGUAUCCAGAGUACCACAAGGCACGUGAAACCUUGUGGGAAGCAGGGGGGACCACCCUCCAAGGCUAAAUACUACUUGAUGACCGAUAGAGGAACAGUACCGUGAGGGAAAGGUGAAAAGUACCCCGGGAGGGGAGUGAAAGAGAACCUGAAACCCUGCGUUUACAAACGAACUGAGUACUAUUAGAGAGUACGAAGUUGUACUUAUUGAAGAACGGGCCAGCGAGUUACGUUUAUGCAGCGAGGUUAAGGUGUUAAGCACUGGAGCCGCAGGGAAACCGAGUCUGAAUAGGGCUAAAGUUGCAUGAAGUAAACCCGAAACCGGGUGACCUAUCCAUGAGCAGGCUGAAGCGGUGGUAAGACAUCGUGGAGGGCCGAACCUGUGUGCGUUGAAAAGUAUAGGGAUGACUUGUGGAUAGCGGAGAAAUUCCAAUCGAACUCGGAAAUAGCUGGUUCUCCUCGAAAUAGCUUUAGGGCUAGCCUCACUAAAGAAAUGUACGCAGGUAGAGCACUGAAUUGGCUAGGGGGCCACAAAGCUUACCGAACCUUAUCAAACUUCGAAUGGCGUACAUGAAUGAGUGGGAGUCAGACAGUGGGAGCUAAGUUUCAUUGUCAAAAGGGAAACAGCCCAGAUCAUCAGCUAAGGUCCCAAAGUAUAGGUUAAGUGGCAAAGGAUGUGAGGAUGCUAAGACAACCAGGAUGUUGGCUUAGAAGCAGCCACUCAUUUAAAGAGUGCGUAAUAGCUCACUGGUCGAGUGAUCUUGCGCCGAAAAUGUCCGGGGCUAAACCUAUCACCGAAGCUAUGGAUUUACAUCGGAUGAUGUAAGUGGUAGAGGAGCAUCGUAUGCGGGCUGAAGUCGUACCGUAAGGAGCGAUGGACUGCAUAGGAGAGAGAAUGCUGGCAUGAGUAACGAGAGGGUGGUGAGAAUCCACCCCAUCGAAAGCCUAAGGUUUCCUGGGGAAGGUUCGUCCGCCCAGGGUAAGUCGGGGCCUAAGCUGAGGACUAGAUGGUCGUAGGCGAUGGACAACAGGUUGAUAUUCCUGUACUACCCGAAGCGUCUGAGAGAAGCAGUGACACAGAAGGAUAGGUCAAGCGGGUUGAUGGUAGAACCCGUCCAAGCAUUGAGGCUGUGUGGAUAGUAAAGUACGUCCGCAUAAAGCUGGGGUGUGAUGGGGACAGAACAUAAGUAUGGAAGUGACUGAAUUCACGCUGGCGAGAAAAGCUGCUAUCGAGCAGAAGGGUACCCGUACCGCAAACCGACACAGGUAGGCGAGGAGAGAAUCCUAAGAUGAGCGAGAUAACCCUUGUUAAGGAACUCGGCAAAAUGACUCCGUAACUUCGGGAGAAGGAGUGCCACGAAAGUGGUUGCAGUGAAUAGGCCCAUGCAACUGUUUAUCAAAAACACAGGUCUGUGCAAAAUCGAGAGAUGAUGUAUACGGGCUGACGCCUGCCCAGUGCUGGAAGGUUAAGGGGAACUGUUAGCGCAAGCGAAGCAGUGAACCGAAGCCCCAGUGAACGGCGGCCGUAACUAUAACGGUCCUAAGGUAGCGAAAUUCCUUGUCGGGUAAGUUCCGACCCGCACGAAAGGCGUAAUGAUAUGGGCGCUGUCUCAACAAGGGACUCGGUGAAAUUGUAGGGCUGGUAAAGAUGCCAGCGACCCGCGACUAGACGGAAAGACCCCGUAGAGCUUUACUGUAGCUUGGUAUUGAGUUUUGACAUUGGAUGUACAGGAUAGGUGGGAGACUGAGAGAUGAUGGCGUCAGCUGUCAAGGAGUCGCCGGUGGGAUACCACUCUUCCGAUGUUGGAAUUCUAACAACGACCCGUGAACCGGGCGUUGGACAGUGCCAGGUGGGCAGUUUGACUGGGGCGGUCGCCUCCGAAAGAGUAACGGAGGUGCCCAAAGGUCUCCUCAGCAUGGUUGGAAAUCAUGUGUUAGAGUGUAAAGGCAUAAGGAGGCCUGACUGCGAGACUGACAAGUCGAGCAGAGACGAAAGUCGGGCUUAGUGAUCCGGUGGUUUCGAGUGGAAGAGCCAUCGCUAAACGGAUAAAAGUUACCUCGGGGAUAACAGGCU
RNAcentral lists this ribosomal RNA (2459 nucleotides) under human gut metagenome. Its description in RNAcentral is "bacterial LSU rRNA". It matches the Rfam family "Bacterial large subunit ribosomal RNA", at positions 14 to 2483 of the family's 2925-position model. The record is from RNAcentral.